Molecule: non-coding RNA, 1155 nt
Organism: Arabidopsis thaliana (thale cress)
Lineage: Eukaryota; Viridiplantae; Streptophyta; Magnoliopsida; Brassicales; Brassicaceae
Source: RefSeq
UAUAUAAGUUCUUCCAAAGGUUUCUUUUAAUAAGAAAAAUAAAAAUAUGAUGCCUUUCAUUCAUAUAUCGAGAAAGAGAGCGAGACAGAAACAAAUGUUGAAAGAAUCGGAUCGUAUUAGCUUGGUAAACACUACCCUUUUAGUUGAUUACUAUUUUUUUAAAGUUUAUGCAUGUUAACGUUUUAACAUUCUUUUUUUCUUGUUAAAGCUUACCUUUUCUCUUUUGCUGGAAUAAUUAUUUUAUCCAUAUUUUGGUUUAGGUUAUUUUAUACACAAAGAAUAUUUGACCUAUUUUUUAUUUUUAUUUUUAUUUUUAACAUUAAUUUUACUCUUUUUUUUUUGGACAAAAAAUUCACUCUAUUUUAUAAUUUGUUUUUCACUUCAUUAUCUUUCUUCUUCUUUUUUUGAUAAAUCAGUUCAUUAUCUUUAACGUCCGCAAUACGUAAAACUCGAAUUUGGGUUCGUGCUGAUGUUUCGCACCUUCAGAUUAUAUUGAUUAACUUACUAUCACUGGUUCUGGUUUAUUUAGGUUUCACUAACAAUAAAAUAUAAUGACUAAUUUUGCAUGCUCAUAUAUACAGUAAAGAGAUUUUGUUUAGUAGUAAGAGUUAGUAAUUUUGCAUGCUCAUAUAUACAAAAAAAAAAAAACCGCCGGUCACUUAAUUAACAACACUUGUAUAAAUGAGGUAAGAUUGAAAAAUGGGAAGGAUAUUAACAACAAUUACGUAGAGUUAAUUAACUUUACGUCAGUCCAUGAGAUAUUAGUUUUAUAACUAACACAAACUUUUUUAAGUCACUCAAACACUGACGUGAACCUUAUACAUAUAAACCUUUUUAAGUUUCUUUUUCUUUUGCAGGUUACCAAUCACUCUCCAUGGAAUACUCAUUUGAGCAAGAUGUUGGCAUGAAAUUGCCGUGGUGAAGGACGAGCUGACUCUAUAUCGAUGGUGCCUCGACCUCGAUCCUUCACCUAUUUAUUGAAAGCAUAGUUUGAAUCUCAUUUUCAACUAUGUAUAAAUUAAUAUAAACAAUGCAGGUCUAGAAAAUAAGCUCUUUUUUUUUCAUUACCAUUGACUGCCUAAAAUAGUGAUGUAUAACUACUUUUUUACAUGUUACUAGUUAUGACUUUAAAAUAAUAUACAUUAUUCUUUUCAA